UUACCACUCUGGCCUUUUGGCUUAGAUCAAGUGUAGUAUCUGUUCUUAAUAGUUUGACCACUAUUAUGAGGGCAAUGCCUUCAUCAUUGGUUAUCUAAUUUUUGUUGCCCCAUACGUGAUCCUCUGCUUGCACGACCUGGUUUCGAUGACUCUGCCACUGCACUAUUGGCUUAGGUUGUCUGGGGUUU
This 188-nucleotide small nuclear RNA is filed under the name Agaricus bisporus var. burnettii JB137-S8. RNAcentral's name for it is "U2 spliceosomal RNA". It matches the Rfam family "U2 spliceosomal RNA". Rfam says of the family: U2 is a small nuclear RNA (snRNA) component of the spliceosome (involved in pre-mRNA splicing). The record is from Rfam by way of RNAcentral. Lineage: Eukaryota; Fungi; Basidiomycota; Agaricomycetes; Agaricales; Agaricaceae.